Molecule: non-coding RNA, 26 nt
Filed under: Mus musculus (house mouse)
Lineage: Eukaryota; Metazoa; Chordata; Mammalia; Rodentia; Muridae
Source: RNAcentral
UGCUUUGCAGUGCCUUGCUGUGUUUC